UGGAUGCGGGGGCUUCACCGCCUACCAAAUCCUGACAAACUCCGAAUGCCAGUAGUAUGAUUUACAGCAGUGAGUGACUGGGUGCUAAUGUCCAGUCGCAAAAGAGGAACAACUCAGACCAGCAACUAAGGUCCCGAAGAAUAUGCUAAGUUGAUCUAACGAUGUUUUGUUGCAGAGACAGCUAGGAUGUUAGCUUGGAAGCAGCUAUUCAUUCAAAGAGUGCGUAACAGCUCACUAGUCGAGCGACAGAGCGUGGAUAAUAAACGGGCAUCAAGCAUAUCACCGAAGUUCUGGGCGCGAGAGCGCGGUAGGGGAGCAUUCCAUUCAGCGUCGAAGCAGUUUCGUGAGGAAUUGUGGAGCGUAUGGAAAAGCAAAUGUAGGCAUGAGUAACGAUAAUGCGGGAGAGUAACCCGCACACCGCAAGACCAAGGUUUCCUGAUCAACGCUAAUCGGAUCAGGGUUAGUCGGGUCCUAAGGGUAAGCCGAACGGCGAUCUCGAUGGAUAAUCGGUUAAUAUUCCGAUACUAACAUAUACCUCGAUGGAGAGACGAAGGAACGUAAGUGCCGCCACCUGACGGAAUAGGUGGUUAAAGGGCGUAGGUAUAGGGGCAGAUUAAGAGUUAGUCCUUGCUGAAACCUGACAGUACAGAGAGCCUACGGGCAAUUUGAUAGUGCACCCAAGUCGACUUCCGAGAAAAUCUUCUAAGUUAUAGUAUAUGUUACCCGUACCGUAAACCGACACAGGUGGUCGAGGAGAGUAUCCUAAGGUGCUCGAGUGAAUCACGGUUAAGGAACUAGGCAAAUUAACCCCGUAACUUCGGGAAAAGGGGUCCCUAUGAAAGUAGGGCGCAGCGAAGAGGUCCAGGCGACUGUUUAUCAAAAACACAGGGCUCUGCAAAUUCGAAAGAAGACGUAUAGGGCCUGACACCUGCCCGGUGCUGGAAGGUUAAGAGGGGAUGUCAUCGCAAGAGAAGCAUUGAAUCGAAGCCCCAGUAAACGGCGGCCGUAACUAUAACGGUCCUAAGGUAGCGAAAUUCCUUGUCGGGUAAGUUCCGACCUGCACGAAUGGUGUAACGAUCUGGACACUGUCUCAACCGUGAGCUCGGUGAAAUUGUAGUCCCGGUGAUGAUGCCGGGUACCCGCAACGGGACGAAAAGACCCCGUGAACCUUUACUAUAGCUUAACGCUGAAUUUGGGUACACAAUGUGUAGGAUAGGCCGGAGGCUUUGAAGCGGGCACGCCAGUGUUCGUGGAGCCGACGUUGAAAUACGGCCCUUUGUGUAUUUGAGUUCUAACCCUGCGAAGGGGACACCGUUUGGUGGGUAGUUUGACUGGGGUGGUCGCCUCCAAAAGCGUAACGGAGGCUUCCCAAGGUACCCUCAGCACGAAUGGUAACCGUGCGCGGAGUGCAAUAGCAUAAGGGUGCUUGACUGUGAGACAUACAAGUCGACCAGGUACGAAAGUAGGGUAUAGUGAUCCGGUGGUUCUGCGUGGACUGGCCAUCGCUCAAAGGAUAAAA
This 1519-nucleotide ribosomal RNA is filed under the name human gut metagenome. RNAcentral's name for it is "bacterial LSU rRNA". It matches the Rfam family "Bacterial large subunit ribosomal RNA", at positions 915 to 2461 of the family's 2925-position model. The record is from RNAcentral.